GAUCAGGGAGACAUCUCAAAUGUGCAGUGUUGGGGUUCUCCAGGACCAGGAUUGGGAGCCACUGCCUUAUGGGACACUUAUGUGUUUAAAGAGAUUUUUAAUAUCUAAUUAUCAAUAUUUCACAUACUGUACAUUGGACAGCUUUCCAUGACCUCUUGUGAGAUCUCGGCAAAAAGUCUGACGAUUUAUUCCAAAACAUGAUGCAUGAUGGGAUACACUAAGCUUUGUAAAGCGCUCCAGAGCAGUAUUGGAGAGGUUUAGUGUGUGUUAAGGACGCUGUGCUUUGGCAUUAUUAAGACCGGGGACAGUCUUGUGCACACACUGUCACGUACACACACUCUCAAGUGGCCAAGACUGCAAGUGUGGGUAUCUGGACAGGGUCAAAGUCUUAAAAAUGAUCCCUAAACACAUCACAGUCUUAAUAAUCCAGUUUAACACUUGUAUGAUAUUGUACAAGCCCCAGGACUGUCUCAUCUGACACUAUCAAAGAAUUCAUAUGACUAUAGCUUGUUAUUAAUUACUUGCUUUCAAUAAUGGAUUCAUUUAACAUUUAAUUAUACAGCAUCUUUACAGAGGUGUAAUGUACAAGCUGCACGUAAUUAAUAAUAUGUCCUUCCUUCUGUCUUACAGGAUUUUUUCCAGAUAAUGCUGUUCUUCUUUUUCAGGUCUAAAAUAUCGAGCUCAACAGCUAUUUUAAGAGCCAACCCUCACAAACCUUCCUAAAACCUAAAAGAGCUAUUACUGAGUCUCAGCGAAUCUUGCCAUGAUCAGCUCUUCCCAGAAGAGAAGGAAGACCAAGGAAAUGAUUUGCUCAGGAUGAGGAAUGAAGAUGGCCAUCUUGAGCUCAAACAAACAGAAGUCCUCUGAUGAUCUCAUCAGCCAAAUGAGGGGUUUUGACCAAGUGAUGCUCUUGAAAGGAGUGAAAGAAGAGGAUGUGGUAAAUUGUCUUCAGAGAAAAGCUUCUCAAAAGAUCUUAAAACAGCUUGAAGAAUGGUCUGGGAUGUUAGGACUGAGAGAUCAUCUGGCUGAGAACAAGCUACACCUCAUCAGUGCUGGACAUCAACCACAAACUGUUUCCAGACACGAGAGAAGAAGAUCACGAUGGGGAGAUGAAACCAGUUUAGAUGUGAUAAUAAGGAAUCAUUAUUUUCUGAAACAGUAUCACAUGUCUUAUAUGUAUCACAUGAUCUGUAUCACAGUUGACUGGAUGGGACUGUGACUUUUAAGGACAUUUCAUCACUCAUCUGUGUGAACUGAUUUAUAUAUGAGGUUAAUGUAUCUUUGAUGAUAAUUAUUUUCAUUGAAUCUUAUUUGUCUUGAUGCUACUUUAUCAACUUUAUAGUCUAUGCUUCAAUAAAAUGAAAAUGGUGAAUAUUGUGUUCUGAAGAUUCUUGGUAAAUACAUAAUUUUACUAGGUAGGCUCAUAUGUGUUUAUUUUAGACUUGGAAAAACGACAUAUUAAUUAUUGGGAUUAUUUUUUUAUUUAAGACAUGAACAUUUUUGAUCGGAUUAAUAACAUCUGGGACAUCAGUACACCAGAAAGUAAUUUUUUUAUAUUUUAGUAACAAAUAUGCAAAUUUUUUGUGAAAUACAGGGAGUUACAAGAUUAAUUAUUCUGCAUUACAAGA
This is a long non-coding RNA of Carassius gibelio (silver crucian carp), 1628 nucleotides long. RefSeq lists it as uncharacterized. The record is from RefSeq and is a predicted model, not a curated record. NCBI's taxonomy places the organism in Eukaryota, Metazoa, Chordata, Actinopteri, Cypriniformes, Cyprinidae. The transcript has 4 exons.